UAUACAGUGGGGAAAGAUACAUUAGUGAAAUGUAGAAUAAGGUCAAUCCCAUGUAACAUUACACGGAUAAAGAGAAUUUGGAUUUGGCACCGCCUGCAGCAUAUACUCUAUAUUGGACCUAGAGAGACAUUAGGGUGUUACACGAGCAACACUGAGGACAGUGUUAAGCCAAAUAAAGAAACCCAGAUUACUGCAACUAAAUAAAAAGAUAGAGGUUCCCAAUGUGUAAAAUAUGGGUUGUAUGAUCCUAAAAGUGCAUUCCAAAGAAACUGUGAAAAAUAUUAUAAUGACAAUAAAUAUACAAUGUGUGAAACUACAAAAAAUUAUGGGAUCCAUUUGCAUGGAUAUAUUGGUUUAUAUAUUGACAUAGGUUAAUAUUAAUAUAUUAAUAUAUUAUUAUACAUUAAUAUUGGUUAGGUGAAACUACUGAAUGAAUUAGUGUAUAUUCAAAAGGAUUGAGAACUCUUGUGGGAAAAUGUGCUUAAUGAAAAUGGAACUGAAAGGGAUCAAAUGAUAAUACAAUUCAUUUGUAUUAUUUAUUAUUUAUUUAUUUGGUGAUACAGGAACUAAUAUUAGAGCAUUACUGUGAAAAGCAUUAAAGCCCAAAAAUUUAGAUGAAAAACAGAGAAUCUCAUGAUGGGAUGAGUAUAAAAGAUAAAAAUAAAAAUAUUAAAUAUAAAAAUACCGGGCUAAGCACUUACUAUCCUUUUCCUGUAGUUUGGAUGAGAUUUCAGGUAAAGGAUAGCAGAUUAUUUUGUUCUAUUUCUAAGGAAAUCCCAGAAUACCAUAAUGUUAUGACUAUAUCAGCACCUAAUCACAAAAUGUAAAUUAAUAUUAGUGGCAUGCUAGAUGUCAAAAAGGUUUUGACCAUUGACAGAAGCUUAUGGACUGUUUAUUACUUUACAGGAAGACAAGGCUUAUUUAAAUAUGCCUUUAGAUAGUUAUUUUAGAAGAUUGGACAUUAAUUAAGGAAUUAAUGGUAUGUUGGCUUAAGAAGUCUAUUCGUAUGAGCCCAUAUAUAUGGAUAAUAGAGAGAAUCAUGCUAAAGAAGAUAAAGGGAAAUGAAGGACUCUGUACCCAUUGUAUUGGACAGUAGCUAGACCACAAUAUAUUAAAUUACAUGCAGGAUACAGACAAUGGAUAAUUUAUACUGUAUGUUAUUUUACUAGUAGGAGCUUUCAUUGGGAUUUUGAUUUUGUGAGAACUAAAGGGCCUUGGAGGACUGAUAAGAAGUUUAUUAAAAAUCUGUUAUUCUACAGUCGUUAAUAUUAUCUUGCAGGUGGUUGGGCUUAGUAGGAGUAGAGAUAAAGAGGACAAACAAGUGCUCAUUGAAAGAGGGAUUCAUCGAAAGACCUUGACCGAACGUAGCACUCCUUUGGUGCAUAAGGUCUGAGACUUUACUUCUGAAAUACAUGGCAUUUCAACAGAGUGCCACGAAGGGUGAACAGUUGAGUGAUAUACCAAGGAUAACUCUAAGAAUGAUUCUACCAGCAUUGCUAUUUUGUUAGGAAACGGUGACAACCUUUUGGAAAUUCUGGCAGAGAAAUUUAUGGAAUUCCUGGAGAAGGAGGAUUUAACUCUGACUCAGCCCGCCUUAACGCCCCAAGGUGCUAAGAAUCAAACAAGCGGCUCGCACACCAGAAGGUAUGCCUGGAAUGCCAGAUCCCCUCUCUUGGCUUCUGAAGAGGAUUUCAGAGAGAGGGGAAGAGCCGUGCGUUUCUGAGUGAGGACCCCUGGGGGCGUCAGAUUGAGGCUUGUGUACAUGAAAUUACGAACGGACGAUUGUUGAGAGCAAGAUUUGGACACUAUCUUAGCACUGUCAAGCAGAGCACAAAGAUUUGGUCACCUGAUACUACUGUAUCUGGAAAUUAGA
Long non-coding RNA from Carassius auratus (goldfish), 1873 nucleotides. RefSeq lists it as uncharacterized. The record is from RefSeq and is a predicted model, not a curated record. The transcript is spliced from 2 exons. Lineage: Eukaryota; Metazoa; Chordata; Actinopteri; Cypriniformes; Cyprinidae.